UACGUAGGGGGCUAGCGUUGUCCGGAAUCAUUGGGCGUAAAGCGCGUGUAGGCGGUCCGGUAAGUCCGCUGUGAAAGUCGGGGGCUCAACCCUCGGAUGCCGGUAGAUACUGUCGGGCUUGAGUACGGAAGAGGCGAGUGGAAUUCCUGGUGUAGCGGUGAAAUGCGCAGAUAUCAGGAGGAACACCAAUUGCGAAGGCAGCUCGCUGGGACGUUACUGACGCUGAGACGCGAAAGCGUGGGGAGCAAACGGG
Molecule: ribosomal RNA, 253 nt
Filed under: uncultured bacterium
Lineage: Bacteria
Description: partial 16S ribosomal RNA
Rfam family: Bacterial small subunit ribosomal RNA
Source: RNAcentral